RNAcentral lists this ribosomal RNA (525 nucleotides) under uncultured Polynucleobacter sp. RNAcentral's name for it is "bacterial SSU rRNA". It matches the Rfam family "Bacterial small subunit ribosomal RNA", at positions 1 to 526 of the family's 1533-position model. Lineage: Bacteria; Pseudomonadati; Pseudomonadota; Betaproteobacteria; Burkholderiales; Burkholderiaceae. The record is from RNAcentral.
UAGGGUUUGAUCCUGGCUCAGAUUGAACGCUGGCGGCAUGCCUUACACAUGCAAGUCGAACGGCAGCACGGGUGCUUGCACCUGGUGGCGAGUGGCGAACGGGUGAGUAAUACAUCGGAACGUACCUUAUCGUGGGGGAUAACGCAGCGAAAGUUGCGCUAAUACCGCAUACGCCCUGAGGGGGAAAGCGGGGGACCGUAAGGCCUCGCGCGAUUAGAGCGGCCGAUGUCUGAUUAGCUUGUUGGUGAGGUAAAAGCUCACCAAGGCGAUGAUCAGUAGCUGGUCUGAGAGGACGAUCAGCCACACUGGGACUGAGACACGGCCCAGACUCCUACGGGAGGCAGCAGUGGGGAAUUUUGGACAAUGGGGGCAACCCUGAUCCAGCAAUGCCGCGUGAGUGAAGAAGGCCUUCGGGUUGUAAAGCUCUUUUGUCAGGGAAGAAACAGCAGCUCUAACACAGUCUGCGAAUGACGGUACCUGAAGAAUAAGCACCGGCUAACUACGUGCCAGCAGCCGCGGUAAUUC